UUCACCAUGGGAAAAAAAGAUUGGGUAGUGAGGCCAUUCACAAGAAGCAAAGAAAACUUGGGUCUAUUGAGAGAAGAGAAAAAAACAUUCAUUUUAUUUUAAAAUUUAUAUGUAUUUUAAAGACAUCUUUAAAAAUAACAUCUAGGCUGUUGCCCAGGCUGGAGUGCUGUGGUGCAAUUUUGGUUCAUUGCAGCCUCUGUCUCCUGGGUUCAAGUGACUCUCCUGCCUCAGCCUCCCAAGUAGCUGGGACUACAGUCAUGCACCACCACACCUGGCUAAUUUUUGUAUUUUUAAUAGAGAUGGGGUUUCACCAUGUUGGCCAGGCUGGUCUUGAACUCCUGACCUCAAGUGACCCACCCACCUUGGUCUCCCAAAGUGCUGGGAUUACAGGAGUGAGCCACUGUGCCUGGCCGCUAAUUUUUUUAUUUUGUUUUUUUGUAGAGAUGGCAUCUCUCUAUAUUGCCCAGGCUGGUCUCAAACUCCUGGCCUCAAGUGAUCCUCCCACCUCGACUUCCCAAAAUGCUGAGAUUACAGGCAUGAGCCACUGCACCUGGCCUCAUUUAUUUUAAGAUCAAAGAAAAACCUUCGAAAGCAGGAGAAGCUUCCUAGAUUAGACUGCCCUAAGAAGAUGAAGGAUUGUUGCCUAUGUGGAUUUUUAAUCUUUUUUUUUUUCUUUCUGGAACAUUUAUCUCUAUAUCCCAUAUCCUUAUAUUGAGCAAGAAUCUUUUAAAAUUUAUUUGAGAAUGAAAGCUUCACUUAUACAACUCAGCCAAACCGCAGUAAGUUCUCUACCAGAUGGUGCCCUCCCGCGCCCGCCCCCCUAACACAACCAGGAUCCAGAUGGGCAGUGGUCUGGGGCACAGAGCAAGUGCUGGAGCCCUGGGAACUGGGGGUGGGGGGUGGAGUUUCCUCAGCUUUCCCUUCUAUUUUCUUGGAAACAACUGGGCUUAUUUAAAGUUGGAUGGAAAUUUUUAUGAAGAACAAAAAUGAAAAUUUAGAGAAUCAGUUUGAGGUUUUGUUCUCUUGGACUCUAUAUUCACUAUAAGGGGAAACCUAAAAAUAAAUAAAAGCCUUGAGUUUUCUCUGGAGAGAGUGACAACUGAUACUCUAAGGUCCUUUCUUCUGCUUAGGGGCUGAAAACCCCACAGUUGAGGCAGACCAGAGUGAAGUUGGUCGUAGGAACUCUGGUGACCUAAAGGAGCGACCUUGAUCCAGGCUGACCAAGGAGUGCCACCUCAAACUCUGGUUUUUAAAAGAAAAUAGAUGGAAUUUUUUAUGUCCAAUCUUCUGAUAUGUAAAUAUGGGUGACUAAUUGAAAUAUGUAAAAGAUGCUGUUCGAAUGAACUGGAGCAGGAGAAACCCUAGAUCAUCUUGCUGAGUCUGUCAUUUUAGAGCUGGGAGUCUGAGGUCCAGAGGAAGAAUGACUUGCCAAGAUGAUGCCAGAAGUGAGACCAGAGCCUGCAGCUGCUGACUCAUGGUGGGGUUCUAUUAAUUGGCAUCAACUGAUGGCUUUUUCAAACAACUAAAAAAUAUUUAGACAUUUCUCCUUUGCUCUGGCACUGAUUGCUGCUGGAAAGACAUCUGAAACCCACCUGAUUUUUCUCCUUGUAAGUGAAUUAUUUUUGUCCUGAAUGUGAAAAAAAAUUUUUUUUUAGUUUAAUGGUUUAACCAGAAUGUGUCUGAAGGUUUGCUGUUAAGAGUUUUUUACUAAUAAGUGGUAUGUGCUUUCAGUCUUGCAGAUUCAGUCUUUAUUCUAAUUCCUAUAUGAGUUCACUAUUGUUAAAGUAAAUUAAAAUGAAGAGAGACCAGGCCUGAAGAAUCUCUGACUAGACAAAAGCAGUCAGGCCUCAUAAGUCAUCUUAACUUUGCUUAAUUUGCAAACGUUAGCGAAACUUAACUUUAGCCAUUUCUGGUAAAUGCUUAUGUUAGAAACAAAACUUAACCUCAGCCAAUUAUUGGCAGACAAAAAGUUUCUAAUUAUAUAACAAGGGACUUUUGAAUGCGAUGAAUCAAAUAAGAUAAUUUUGCAACUGCCACCAAUCAAAUAAUUUCUUUAUCUUGUUUCCGUAUUCACCCUAAAAAUAUUUGCCUCUGAUGCUAUGUCAUUAGAACACUGAACAUUUUUUUGGUCUGGCAUACCCCAAUUCAUGAAUUGCUUUUUCCUCAAACAAGCUCUUUAAAAUGUAAUUGUGUCUCCAAUUUUUCUUUUACACUAUUCAAAUACAGAUCUCUCAUCCUUUUGGAAUGUAUUCUGGUGUAGGGUCUAAGGGAUGGGUCCAGUGUCUUUUUCCUGAUGAUAUCCAGAUGUUAUCUGGGCAGUUUGAGUUUGAGGUGCUGAUGAAGCAUGCAGGUGAGGCUGAGUUCAGGGCCACUGUGAAUUCAGGGCUGGAGAGGGGUCAGGGACCAACGGACAGACCUGAGGGCCAUAGUAGGGACAUCUAAACAAGGAGACACAUGGGAUUGCAAAAGAAGGACAAGUCAGGACCAACAUGCACAGGGCCAAGUUCAAAACCUUGGGAGGCCUGUACAUUUAGGGAAUACAAAGGAGGGAAAGAGAUUGAAGAGGAUGAAGGCUAAGAAAAGACCAUUGGGUUGGGUCUUCAGAGAUUGGCCUGUAAAGGAGAUAAGCAUCAGAGCUUGGCGGCGAAGGGCAAGGGAAGGAGCAGAUGAUAACACAAGUGAGGCAGCUCUUCCCGGAGUGGUAUGACAGGAGAGGGGAAGGCGCAACUGUGAGGACUUCACAGGAGAAAGGGGUUUCUAUUAGGCAGAGUGAGGCUUUAGCAAUUUAGUGGACCUGUGAAAGGGGUCAGGGUGGGGAGAGGUGGAAGAUAAAGAGAAGGAAAACCACAACGAUGGAAAGGUGGGCAGGUAGGAGACAGGGUCAUAAGGCAGGAUGCAAGUAACAGAGCUUCUAUCUGAACCAUCUUAGGAAAAAGAGAUCAUUCACUGACUGGGCACGGUGGCUCACACCUCCGAGCACUUUGGGAGGCCAAAGCAGAAUUGCUUGAGCCCAGGAGUUCAAGACCAGCCUGGGCAAUAUGGGCCCAUGGAAAAGACGUCAUCACCAGAAGUCCAUGGUCCUCAAGGAAAGGUCAGCUGUGCAGGGGGUGAACUUGAACCUGCCUCACCUGUGAAAGUGACACAGUGAAGAGGCCGAUUUCAUGUCAGCACAGGUCUGAUGGGAACAUUCUAGCCUAUUCUAAAAAUGUUUGCACCUCCUCUCCUGGGAUAAGGCCCAUCUCAUGGGUGCCCCCUGACCCAGAGCACAUUCCCUUUCCAUAGUCUCAGUCCAGCUGUGUGUGAUUCUGCAUCUCUGCAGACACUCACACUUGCAUGGUCCACCUUCAGGCAAAGGUCCGGUAACCAUGCUGAGAGCAAACGCUGUUCUGGCCCUCAUGCCUGGCAUCUGCUGCAGCAGGCAAAGCACCGAGAGCCUUGACAAGCAAGGUGCCGGCUUCCCCUUCUGGCAUGAUUGUAAGUUACCUGAGGCCUCCCCAGCCACACAGAACUGUUUUGGUAUCAGGACGAUGCUGGCUUCGUAAAAUGUGUUAGGGAGGAUUCCCUCUUUUUCUAUCGAUUGGAAUAGUUUCAGAAGGAAUGGUACCAGUUCCUCCUUGUACCUCUGGUAGAAUUCAGCUGUGAAUCCAUCAGGUCCUGGACUCUUUUUGGUUGGUGACCUUGGUUUGGCCACUUUUUCAGGACUCUGAAUGCCAAAGAAGACUUACCUCCAGAAAUAUUAUAGAACCAGUUUGUUUUACUAUAAACUUACCAAUACCCAUGAUAGAGGGAUCACAUCCAGAUACAAAGUAGCCCACAAUUCUUGCCAGUGGUGUGAAGUUAUGUUUCUUAACAGCAUCUUCACUAGCUAUGAUAACAGCUCCAGCACCAUCAGCUAUCCCCUUGAAAAUAAAUAAAAAUACUGGAUUAACUAAAGGCUAAAAUAAUCCAGUUAAUCAAGGUUUGAACUAAUGGACUAGUAGUAUUAGGAAUAUGGCAGUACAUAGGAAGCCAGUGCACAGUGUGAGAUACAAUUGGAAAAGUGGUACUGUGGUGGAUGAAGGAGAUUUAAGGCACAGAAUACAACUUUACUAAAGAAAAAGGAAAAGAGUGUCAAGGAAAAACUUUUAUCUAGAUGUGAGUAGAUGUAAGAAGAAAUAUGAUGAACUGUAUGCAUGAGGGAAAAAAAGUUUGAAAACCAAAAUGAUAAGCCAGAUAGAUUUGCUUCUGAAAUUUCUUAGUUCUGAAAAAACUAAGAAAUCAGAAGAGUAUUAUAUAAAUAUGAAAAGAUUUUGUAUGGGACUAUGAAAACCUAAAUUAAUUGAAUAUGAACACUAUUAGUUUAAGCUAAACAACUAAAGACUGGCAUAAAAAGUAUUUACAAGAUACUUCAUGAUUAUUUUCAUUGAACAGACCAGGAAGAAUUCAAGCUAAUCUGUGUGGUGAUACCAACCGAUGCAUUCCCUGCAGUGACAGUUCCAUCUUUCUUGAAUACUGGAGGAAGUUUCUGUAACUGUUCCAGGGUGGUUUGGGGCCGAGCAUGCUCGUCCACCUGCAUUGUCUGUUUCCCUUUCUUUGUCUUCACUUCAAUUGGUGCCAUUUCAUCAUUAAAGUAGCCAGCAUCAUUAGCUGAAAAAUAGUAGAGAGACUAUCAUAAGAAUAAAAAAGAGAAACAUGAAAAUAAAUCACACAUAUUAUUCAAUUUAAUUUCUCAUCUACCCUUUCCUCACAGUCUAGUUUAAUAUUGAGUCUUUAUUAAUUUUUGAGACAGAGUCUCACGUUGUCACCCGGGCUGGAGUGCAAUGGCACAGUCUCGGCUCACUGCAACCUCUGCCUCCCAGGUUCAGGCGAUUCUCUUGCCUCAGCCUCCCCAGUAGCUGGGAUUAUAGGUGCCCACGACCAUGCCCAGCUAAUUUUUUUAUAUUUUUAGUAGAGACAGGGUUUCACCAUGUUGGCCACACUAGUCUCGAACUCAUGUCCUCGUGAUCCGCCCUCCUUGGCCUCCCAAAGUGCUGGGAUUACAGAUAUGAGCCACCACGCUCAGCCUGAGUCUUUACUAUUUACUUACACAACUUACCUUCUGUAUUGGAGGAUUUACGAUACCGUCAUGUGUUUUUAUGUAGAUGCAUUUUGCAUCUUUUAAAAAUUAUUAUAUUUUUUUAACCACAAUUUUUUUUUUCACCAGGUACUGCUAAGACUGUUAGCAGCAUUUGUCUGUUACCUAUAGAUGUAAUGGCACUAAAUGGAUUUAAUGCCCCUUUUAAACUUCUUUUGGUGAGAUAAGCAAUUAAAAAGUUACCAAGCUGUCUAUGCCACAAAGUAAUCUAACUGAAACUUAAUAGUGAUAGGCAACCUGAAGAAAUUAUGGGAGCAAUCACUAAUACAAUUAUAAGUAAAACAUCUUACCUACUUUGACCUCCACUGACUAGAAUGUACUGUAGUAAUCUAUAGCUUUCGAAAUACGGUCAGGAAUAAUACUAACCUUAAUUUUGAUAUCACUUUACAAUUGGCAAAAUACUUUCCUUAUAUGCCCUUAUUUGGUUUUAAAACAACCUUAUUAGAAUAGGGAAGGCAAAUAUUGUUAUCUCUAUCAUCUUACAGAGGUUCAGUGAAUAAACGAUUUGACUGAGCUUGAUAACUUGUGCAUGGUAGAAGUAGAAACAGAACUGAUAACUCUUGACUUCUAGACCAAUCCUCUUCCACUAUGAACAUAUAACUAAAAAAACACAGAUGAGUUGGAUGGCAUCAGCUCUAUUCCACUUAUCCUUCUGAAAUGCUAAGAUGGACUUUAUCCUCAUUACUUCAAGCAUUUAAUACUCCUAAAUAAGAGUUGCCACUUGCUUUAACAGUUUAAUUUUUUAAAUAUCACAUUUCUUCAACUUGCUGCACUGCUAAAAGAACUGCUGUCACGUUGCCUGUUUUGGACUGGCUCUAUAGCAACCUGCUGUGCUACACCAGGGCACUCUAACUAGAGUCUCGGACUAGUUCCAAGUCUCUGAGUCAGGUACAAUGAUUCUUAAUUAGGAGUGGGAGAAGGAAAGCAUAAAAGACCCAGUGGGUCUUUUCCAAAUACAUUACCCCUUCUUAUGAUUAUGAUAUGGCUUGUGGGAGAGGACAUCCUCUAUAUUCCAGUUGCCACAGUGAGCUAUCACCUCUGACAGAGUAUAUCUUAUUCCUCAUCAUGUUCUACUGACAACAGGACCAGUUCAGCACAAAGCUCAAGAGUCCAUCUAGGGUCAAGUAGCAAUACCACCUUUUAAGUAGUACUAACUUUUUCAAAAGAGAAAUUCCCAGUUAAUUUUGCAAUAAUUAAUAAAAUAUCUGAUCAUCUAAAACCAAAGGAAUAAUGAAAAGAUGUAAUGAUUCUUAAAGGUAUGAUUUGUAAAUAUUAUAUAACCAUAAGAGAAAUGAUGAAAAUAUUUCCUAUAGAUAUUUAUUCUAUAGAUACUGAUAUUUUCCAGUUUCACUCACCAGUUUUCCAUCUCUGCUGUGACUGCAGGGCGUAUUUGUCACAUUCUUCUCUGCUUAUUUUGUGUUUUACAGCAAGAUUCUCUGCAGUCAUUGCCAUGGGGAGCUGGACAUGCGGAUCUGUUAAUCCUACCCAUAAAGAAUCUUCCAGCUAUUAAAAGACAUUAAUAAAGUGACUUGUUAAGGCAUUACCUUUUAAAAGUAAUAUGUUAUAAUUUCUUUAAAUAAUCAACACUUCCAAUAAACAAAAGUAAAAUUAA
Molecule: long non-coding RNA, 6725 nt
Organism: Symphalangus syndactylus (siamang)
Lineage: Eukaryota; Metazoa; Chordata; Mammalia; Primates; Hylobatidae
Source: RefSeq, a predicted model, not a curated record